Molecule: ribosomal RNA, 337 nt
Filed under: Escherichia coli
Lineage: Bacteria; Pseudomonadati; Pseudomonadota; Gammaproteobacteria; Enterobacterales; Enterobacteriaceae
Description: partial 23S ribosomal RNA
Rfam family: Bacterial large subunit ribosomal RNA
Source: RNAcentral
GGGGGAACUGAAACAUCUAAGUACCCCGAGGAAAAGAAAUCAACCGAGAUUCCCCCAGUAGCGGCGAGCGAACGGGGAGCAGCCCAGAGCCUGAAUCAGUGUGUGUGUUAGUGGAAGCGUCUGGAAAGGCGCGCGAUACAGGGUGACAGCCCCGUACACAAAAAUGCACAUGCUGUGAGCUCGAUGAGUAGGGCGGGACACGUGGUAUCCUGUCUGAAUAUGGGGGGACCAUCCUCCAAGGCUAAAUACUCCUGACUGACCGAUAGUGAACCAGUACCGUGAGGGAAAGGCGAAAAGAACCCCGGCGAGGGGAGUGAAAAAGAACCUGAAACCGUGU